AACGAACGCUGGCGGCGUGUUUAAGACAUGCAAGUCGCACGGGAUAAGACAUGUAGUAAUACUUGUUUUAUUUAGUGGCGCACGGGUGAGUAACACGUGAAUUACAUGCCCUAUAGUGGGGAAUAGCCCAGGGAAACUUGGAUUAAUACCCCAUGGUAUCGAAAGAUUAAAGGUGGCCGCAAGGCUGUCGCUAUAGGAUUGGUUCGCGCCCUAUCAGCUUGUUGGUGAGGUAACGGCUCACCAAGGCAAUGACGGGUACCUGGUCUGAGAGGACGAUCAGGUACACUGGAACUGAGACACGGUCCAGACACCUACGGGUGGCAGCAGUCGAGAAUAAUUCACAAUGGGGGCAACCCUGAUGGUGCAACGCCGCGUGGAGGAUGACGGUCUUCGGAUUGUAAACUCCUGUCAUCCGGGAGAAAGACCUGACGGUAAAUAGCCGGCAGGGUUGAUAGUACCAGAAGAGGAAGGGACGGCUAACUUCGUGCCAGCAGCCGCAGUAA
This 503-nucleotide ribosomal RNA is filed under the name uncultured bacterium. Its description in RNAcentral is "partial 16S ribosomal RNA". It matches the Rfam family "Bacterial small subunit ribosomal RNA", at positions 29 to 523 of the family's 1533-position model. The record is from RNAcentral.